GCUCCUCCCUCUGAAAGCAGACUGAGAUUGGCCGCUGCCGAAAGAAGCUCGCUGUCGCACGACGAUGACAUCUCAACCUCCGCCCAAUCAAAGGAAAGUGGCGGGGCCAUGAGAAGGGGGGCGGAGAGCCGGCAGCGGCUGGCCAACCGGGAGGAUGUUUGAGGCGUCUUGCAGAGUGAUUGGCUAGGACGCACAAUAAACGCAAUAAUACGAUCGAAUGCCCCUCCUUAACCAGCGCCGGCCAAUGGAGACAGAGAACCGGGAUAUAAAAGAGGACGCCUUGCACGGACUCCUUCCGUUUCCUCGUCGCGUGGUUGGUGAAGGAAAUGGCCCCAAAAAGGAGUGAGAUCAGCCAUUGCCAAGAGGAGAAAAUCAGUGAUACCUUUACUAGCCAUGAGAGAGCAGCAUGGCUGACCUGAAGCAGCACUCAAGUGUACUGGAUUAAGAAGGUGGAAGCAACCAUGCCAAAGGCAAGGUUAUUUUGACUAGCUGAGGCCUACAGAAGCUUUCAAAAAGAUCCGAGGAAAGGCAGAACAAAGAAAAAUCACAGAAGCCUUCAGUGGCCUGGAAGGAACCCAUUAAACCAACUGGGAUUAGCCGCUGUCAGUGGAAGGCUUCUGUGCCUCCCACCCUCAGUUUUGAAAGUAGCACAGAAAUCGCAUCCUCAACCUUUGUUCAAUCAAAGAAAAUAAGGUGGUGGGGCAGAUGAACAGAGUUGCCUGGAGAUACUGAGUGAGAAUGGGCAGUUGGCCAAGUACGUACUUCAUUCACCAGUACAGACGGGGCAGAAGAGCAGUGUUCCAUUCCUGAGAUACGCACGAUCACAUUCUGUAUUGUUGUAGAGAAUAUCAGAAUAUAUCUUUUUAUAUUUUUUUCCUUUUAGCUUUGUGUUGUGAGCCUUUUGACUUUUUUAUCUUUUGGCUUUAAAAAGUUCUUAAUUGAAUUUAAUUUUUAAAAAUCCCCCACAGUGGAAAAUACAGCUUGGUGAAGCUGUAUUUGUCCAAAAUCAUAUUCAUGCUUGAAUGAGACAAAGGAAUGUGUAUAUGUGAACAAGAAUAAAAAUAAUGUGAUGGGAUUAUAUAUUAGGGGGAAAUAAUAAGGUUUAAAAAUAGAACCUAAUAUUCUUGUAUCUAGCUGAUACUGAAUUGUUUUUGUUGUAAUUUGUUCCUUUAAUGCAACUUUAUUUAUUUAUAAGAUUUUAAUAAUUUAUUGCAUCUAGUCAAUACCAGAUUGUAUUUACUGUACAAACUACAAUUUUACUCACAUUCAUUAAUUCAUAAGAUUUUAACAAUAAUUUGUUACUUAACUAAUUUGCUUAAUUUCUGUAAUUAUGUAUUUGUAAAAAAGAAAACGUAAGAAAAAAAGAAUGAUUGUUUUUUAUUUUAUGCCCCCCUUUGAGCAGGUUUCUAAGCAAGGGCCACAAUGAAUGUUCUAAAUAAACAACUCGAGUAUCAAACUGGUCAGUGACUUAAUCCUAUGGGAGUGUACAAGGAGGGGGAUACAAUGAAAAGUGCAUUAUGGGUUGAUGGAGAUGUUGACUCGGUUUUACAGCAUGUUUUUAUUGCUAGAUAGAAGCUGCAAAUUGAGGCCACUUGGAUUAAGUCCACAUCCUGGGAAGCAUGAGAAGUCAACUCUGUCGGUGUGUUUA
This is a long non-coding RNA of Eublepharis macularius, 1648 nucleotides long. RefSeq lists it as uncharacterized. The transcript is spliced from 4 exons. The record is from RefSeq and is a predicted model, not a curated record. Lineage: Eukaryota; Metazoa; Chordata; Lepidosauria; Squamata; Eublepharidae.